Molecule: long non-coding RNA, 2552 nt
Organism: Meriones unguiculatus (Mongolian gerbil)
Lineage: Eukaryota; Metazoa; Chordata; Mammalia; Rodentia; Muridae
Exons: 2
Source: RefSeq, a predicted model, not a curated record
UCCUGAAUAAACUACUUGGAGAAGAGUUCCUGUGCAGUGCCUUCCUUGCUGGUCGAGGUGGUCGCGACAAGUGGUGGCCCGUACGGGGAAACCGAGGACUCAGAACUCCUUGUAGUCAGGGCAGUGCACUGCUUUGUCGAAAUAUCUUACAGGGAAUUGGUCUGCUGAUUUUGAGGUUACCAUGCGAGAGUUGAGACUGGCUAUAGUCCAUGUGAAUUCCCCUAGAGUCGAUCUUUCGUUGGCUACAGGAUGGACAUCGUGGAUCCUCUCUGCAAUGAAUCAUCUCAAGGAGUGGGUGGGCAUUGGGGCGGUAGCGUGCCUUCUGAUGCUGGCCUCCCUGGUGGGCCUGUGGGUUUUGUGUCGGAUGAGGGUUACACACAAUAGAGACAAGGCCAUGAUUAUUCAAGCAUUCACAGCAAUUGAAGCUGGACAAUCCCCUCAAGCAUGGCUUGCCGCCAUGAAAUUUUAAAGCGUCCUGUUCAGGCUGCACGGCUGAGCACUGCACAUGAGGUUCACUGACUGCUGAUAGUGAUCUCAUGGAGAGCAUGUCUGAUAACAUGCAGGUUUGUACCACCCUUCCCCAAUCAAUUCCCUCUCUACCUCCCGCCUCCGAAAAAAAUGGUACUGGACGGGUUGGGCUCAGGUUGGGCUGAGAGGCCUGACGCAGAGUCCGUACAAGGUCCUGAGUUGGUUGCCGGAGAUCAGACCUCUACUCUCGUCUGUUUCAUUCUAAAACAAAAAGGGGGAACUGUGGAGAGCUGCGUGUGCCAUGCCCUAAAGAUGGUGCCGGUUUCCGCCUUCCACCAUCCCGACGCGAGUGCUCUCGGGAUAAACAACUUCUUAUUGGCUGUGGUGUGUCUGAUGAUCUGCCGUCUACCUAUCCGCACUUCCCACGUAGCUUCCUGGGAUUGGUUGGCUCCAGGGUACUUAUUACUGGGGAGGGCUCUCCCUGGGGUCAGAAGAUUGCUCAACCUUCCUGAAUAAACUACUUGGAGAAGAGUUCAUGUGCCGUGCCUUCCUUGCUGGUCGAGGUGGUCGCGACACAGGGGGAAGCAGCUAAGAAAACUGUACCCUUCUCCCACUAACCCUCUCUCUCUCCUACCUGGUAUUGGGGUGUUAGAAGGGAUUGGAGAGGAGUAAGGAAAAUAAGAUAUAAGAAAUAUAAAUAAAAUUUUUUUAAAAAAGUAUGCUAACAAAUGGCACCCUUUAAAAUAACGGCUAAUAUGGUACAGGAGACAAUAGGCUACGGAGAGAUGACUAUACUGAUUCAGGAUACGAGUAUAAGGUUUACUGAGGCUGCUCCUGCUGGUUUCAAUCCUGCUUUCCUCCUAGAAGGGAUUCUCUGGUUUUGCUUCAUCCUCUUCCUGCGUCCCAUUUUAAAGAAGUUUGGGAGAAUGGUUGAACAAUUAGAAAGGAGUGCAAAGUUUGCAAUGCACCUAGAAAAUUAGCUGGUAAAGGUUGAAGUGCCUGGAAAGCAAAAAGCAUCGCUGGUAAAGGGAGAACACCUGGUAACUAAGAGCUGGAAUUCUCCACAAUUGCUGCCCAGUCCUGCUCUGCACACUUUUGGUGUCACAUUCCCACAGACUCUAGGCAGGCUGGGGAGAAGAAGGCUGUACAUUCUGAAAAUAUUAAAGGCAAAAAGCCUGUUUUAAGAAAACAGGUUAAUCUUGAGGAAACUGAGCUGCCAGAUGAGCAGCCCCAGAUUAAGAGAUUAAUACUAUUAGCUUUCCCAGUAGCUGGCAAAAGUUUUAGAUAUCAAAAUGCUCAGUGCAGCCUCAGAGCUUAAAAUGGCUGUGCAUUAACUGAGAAGUACAGUAGUUCCUGCCAGGGAAGGAAAUGAGCUGUUUCUGGCAGCACUGGGUUCUCUGCAAGAAUGCCUGGGUAACUUCUGGCCAUUAGGAACCUAGCUUGAGGCUCAACAGCAAAAAGUUUGAGUUGAUCCAGACAAGAGCAGCUGAAAAUCAUCAGAUUAUAAAAGAAAUUAUUGGUUCAAAGGGUUUGGUUCCUUGAUUAUCUUCUUUUAAGAAAGCAACAGUAAGUUUCGUUUAUAUUAAAAGAAAAGUUUUUUUUUUUUUUAACGGAAAGAGGGAAAAUGUUCUGGAUAAAAACAUGUUUUUGUUUUAAUCCCUUUAAUCCCAGGUGUGGAAUGUAAGAUUGAUUUAAAUGGUCCACAGUAGUGGACUAUUUGCCUCAUGCGGGCCCUGAGAGGAGCUCUUUGCCAGCUGCAGAUAGUUUAAAUCUGAGGACUCUGAAGAGAGAAUAAAUGCCAGUCCCCAGAAAAUGUGGGGAUCAGAAUAAGAACAAAGCUGCUCCUGCUUCCCCCACGGUUCCUGGUUGCUGUUGUGAGAUGAGAAGUUGGAAAUACCCUGAAACAAGGACUGGACUGGCUCCAAGGAACCUGACGACCCUAACCAGCUGAAGCAGCUAAGAGAACUGUGCCCCCAUCUCCCACUAACCCUUUCUCCUCCCUGUUGUUGGGAUGUUGGAAGGGAUUGAGGUGGAGCAGGGAGAAAAAGAUACAAGAAACAAAAAUAAAAGUUUUUUAAAAACUA